RNAcentral lists this ribosomal RNA (253 nucleotides) under uncultured bacterium. RNAcentral describes it as "partial 16S ribosomal RNA". It matches the Rfam family "Bacterial small subunit ribosomal RNA", at positions 524 to 776 of the family's 1533-position model. The record is from RNAcentral.
GACGAACCGUCCAAACGUUAUUCGGAAUUACUGGGCUUAAAGGGUGCGUAGGCGGCGCGGAAAGUUGGGUGUGAAAUCCCUCGGCUCAACCGAGGAACUGCGCCCAAAACUACUGUGCUCGAGGGAGGUAGAGGUGAGCGGAACUUAGGGUGGAGCGGUGAAAUGCGUUGAUAUCCUAAGGAACACCGGUGGCGAAAGCGGCUCACUGGACCUCUUCUGACGCUGAGGCACGAAAGCUAGGGUAGCAAACGGG